AGUCUUGUAGUUUAUAAAAACCUUAAAUUGCAAAUUUAAAAAUGAUCAUAAUUCUAAGACUU
This 62-nucleotide transfer RNA is filed under the name Nesophrosyne sp. 21 GMB-2012. RNAcentral describes it as "tRNA-Cys". Lineage: Eukaryota; Metazoa; Arthropoda; Insecta; Hemiptera; Cicadellidae. The record is from RNAcentral.